This 199-nucleotide long non-coding RNA is filed under the name Sorghum bicolor (sorghum). RNAcentral describes it as "long non-coding RNA (SBIC_LNC003041)". Lineage: Eukaryota; Viridiplantae; Streptophyta; Magnoliopsida; Poales; Poaceae. The record is from RNAcentral.
UCUUCCAUUCCUGUGUGUGCUGCAACCAACCAGUAUUCUAAUAGCCACAGUCACACCUAUGUUUGCUGCCACAUUCUCUCUAAUACAAUGGAUUGAAUGUUUAUUCUCUACACAUAAUUACUGAAUGAAUGGUAUCUAUUUUCAGUGGGUGAAUUGAUUAGAGAAGUUUCCAUCUAACAUUUAUUUUUGUAUAAUCAGA